GACGAACGCUGGCGGCGUGCUUAACACAUGCAAGUCGAACGGAAAGGCCCUGCUUUUGUGGGGUGCUCGAGUGGCGAACGGGUGAGUAACACGUGAGUAACCUGCCCUUGACUUUGGGAUAACUUCAGGAAACUGGGGCUAAUACCGGAUAGGAGCUCCUGCUGCAUGGUGGGGGUUGGAAAGUUUCGGCGGUUGGGGAUGGACUCGCGGCUUAUCCGCUUGUUGGUGGGGUAGUGGCUUACCAAGGCUUUGACGGGUAGCCGGCCUGAGAGGGUGACCGGCCACAUUGGGACUGAGAUACGGCGCAGACUCCUACGGGAGGCAGCAGUGGGGAAUAUUGCACAAUGGGCGGAAGCCUGAUGCAGCAACGCCGCGUGCGGGAUGACGGCCUUCGGGUUGUAAACCGCUUUCGCCUGUGACGAAGCGUGAGUGACGGUAAUGGGUAAAGAAGCACCGGCUAACUACGUG
RNAcentral lists this ribosomal RNA (468 nucleotides) under uncultured bacterium. RNAcentral's name for it is "partial 16S ribosomal RNA". It matches the Rfam family "Bacterial small subunit ribosomal RNA", at positions 28 to 507 of the family's 1533-position model. The record is from RNAcentral.